UGAACGCUAGCUACAGGCUUAACACAUGCAAGUCGAGGGGCAGCAUGGUCUUAGCUUGCUAAGGCCGAUGGCGACCGGCGCACGGGUGAGUAACACGUAUCCAACCUGCCGUCUACUCUUGGACAGCCUUCUGAAAGGAAGAUUAAUACAAGAUGGCAUCAUGAGUCCGCAUGUUCACAUGAUUAAAGGUAUUCCGGUAGACGAUGGGGAUGCGUUCCAUUAGAUAGUAGGCGGGGUAACGGCCCACCUAGUCUUCGAUGGAUAGGGGUUCUGAGAGGAAGGUCCCCCACAUUGGAACUGAGACACGGUCCAAACUCCUACGGGAGGCAGCAGUGAGGAAUAUUGGUCAAUGGGCGAGAGCCUGAACCGGCCAAGUAGCGUGAAGGAUGACUGCCCUAUGGGUUGUAAACUUCUUUUAUAAAGGAAUAAAGUCGGGUAUGGAUACCCGUUUGCAUGUACUUUAUGAAUAAGGAUCGGCUAACUCCGUGCCAGCAGCCGCGGUAAUACGGAGGAUCCGAGCGUUAUCCGGAUUUAUUGGGUUUAAAGGGAGCGUAGAUGGAUGUUUAAGUCAGUUGUGAAAGUUUGCGGCUCAACCGUAAAAUUGCAGUUGAUACUGGAUAUCUUGAGUGCAGUUGAGGCAGGCGGAAUUCGUGGUGUAGCGGUGAAAUGCUUAGAUAUCACGAAGAACUCCGAUUGCGAAGGCAGCCUGCUAAGCUGCAACUGACAUUGAGGCUCGAAAGUGUGGGUAUCAAACAGGAUUAGAUACCCUGGUAGUCCACACGGUAAACGAUGAAUACUCGCUGUUUGCGAUAUACAGCAAGCGGCCAAGCGAAAGCGUUAAGUAUUCCACCUGGGGAGUACGCCGGCAACGGUGAAACUCAAAGGAAUUGACGGGGGCCCGCACAAGCGGAGGAACAUGUGGUUUAAUUCGAUGAUACGCGAGGAACCUUACCCGGGCUUAAAUUGCAGAUGAAUUACGGUGAAAGCCGUAAGCCGCAAGGCAUCUGUGAAGGUGCUGCAUGGUUGUCGUCAGCUCGUGCCGUGAGGUGUCGGCUUAAGUGCCAUAACGAGCGCAACCCUUGUUGUCAGUUACUAACAGGUUCCGCUGAGGACUCUGACAAGACUGCCAUCGUAAGAUGUGAGGAAGGUGGGGAUGACGUCAAAUCAGCACGGCCCUUACGUCCGGGGCUACACACGUGUUACAAUGGGGGGUACAGAGGGCCGCUACCACGCGAGUGGAUGCCAAUCCCCAAAACCUCUCUCAGUUCGGACUGGAGUCUGCAACCCGACUCCACGAAGCUGGAUUCGCUAGUAAUCGCGCAUCAGCCACGGCGCGGUGAAUACGUUCCCGGGCCUUGUACACACCGCCCGUCAAGCCAUGGGAGCCGGGGGUACCUGAAGUGCGUAACCGCGAGGAGCGCCCUAGGGUAAAACUGGUGACUGGGGCUAA
RNAcentral lists this ribosomal RNA (1450 nucleotides) under uncultured organism. RNAcentral describes it as "SSU rRNA". It matches the Rfam family "Bacterial small subunit ribosomal RNA". The record is from RNAcentral.